RNAcentral lists this ribosomal RNA (492 nucleotides) under uncultured bacterium. RNAcentral's name for it is "partial 16S ribosomal RNA". It matches the Rfam family "Bacterial small subunit ribosomal RNA", at positions 29 to 507 of the family's 1533-position model. The record is from RNAcentral.
AGUGAACGCUGGCGGUAGGCCUAACACAUGCAAGUCGAACGGCAGCACAGUAAGAGCUUGCUCUUACGGGUGGCGAGUGGCGGACGGGUGAGGAAUACAUCGGAAUCUACUUUUUCGUGGGGGAUAACGUAGGGAAACUUACUCUAAUACCGCAUACGACCUACGGGUGAAAGCAGGGGAUCUUCGGACCUUGCGCGAUUGAAUGAGCCGAUGUCGGAUUAGCUAGUUGGCGGGGUAAAGGCCCACCAAGGCGACGAUCCGUAGCUGGUCUGAGAGGAUGAUCAGCCACACUGGAACUGAGACACGGUCCAGACUCCUACGGGAGGCAGCAGUGGGGAAUAUUGGACAAUGGGCGCAAGCAUGAUCCAGCCAUACCGCGUGGGUGAAGAAGGCCUUCGGGUUGUAAAGCCCUUUUGUUGGGAAAGAAAAGCAGCAGGUUAAUACCCCGCUGUUCUGACGGUACCCAAAGAAUAAGCACCGGCUAACUUCGUG